GAUGAAGAACGUAGCGAAAUGCGAUAAGUAAUGUGAAUUGCAGAAUUCAGUGAAUCAUCGAAUCUUUGAACGCACAUUGCGCCCGCCAGUAUUCUGGCGGGCAUGCCUGUCCGAGCGUCAUUUCAACCCUCAAGCCCCCGGGCUUGGUGUUGGAGAUCGGCGAGCCCCCCGGGGCGCGCCGUCUCCCAAAUAUAGUGGCGGUCCCGCUGUAGCUUCCUCUGCGUAGUAGCACACCUCGCACUGGGAAACAGCGUGGCCACGCCGUAAAACCCCCCACUUCUGAAGGGUUGACCUCGGAUCAGGUAGGAAUACCCGCUGAACUUAAGCAUAUCAAUAAGCGGAGGA
Molecule: unclassified non-coding RNA, 345 nt
Filed under: soil metagenome
Description: partial contains 5.8S ribosomal RNA, internal transcribed spacer 2, and large subunit ribosomal RNA
Rfam family: 5.8S ribosomal RNA (bases 1-120)
Source: RNAcentral